AGUGGGGAAUCUUAGACAAUGGGCGCAAGCCUGAUCUAGCCAUGCCGCGUGAGUGAUGAAGGUCUUAGGAUCGUAAAGCUCUUUCGCCAGGGAUGAUAAUGACAGUACCUGGUAAAGAAACCCCGGCUAACUCCGUGCCAGCAGCCGCGGUAAUACGGAGGGGGUUAGCGUUGUUCGGAAUUACUGGGCGUAAAGCGCGCGUAGGCGGAUUGGAAAGUUGGGGGUGAAAUCCCGGGGCUCAACCCCGGAACUGCCUCCAAAACUCCCAGUCUUGAGUUCGAGAGAGGUGAGUGGAAUUCCGAGUGUAGAGGUGAAAUUCGUAGAUAUUCGGAGGAACACCAGUGGCGAAGGCGGCUCACUGGCUCGAUACUGACGCUGAGGUGCGAAAGUGUGGGGAGCAAACAGGAUUAGAUACCCUGGUAGUCCACGCCGUAAACGAUGAAUGCCAGACGUCGGGAGGCUUGCCUCUCGGUGUCACACCUAACGGAUUAAGCAUUCCGCCUGGGGAGUACGGCCGCAAGGUUA
This 525-nucleotide ribosomal RNA is filed under the name uncultured Alphaproteobacteria bacterium. RNAcentral describes it as "bacterial SSU rRNA". It matches the Rfam family "Bacterial small subunit ribosomal RNA", at positions 353 to 896 of the family's 1533-position model. Lineage: Bacteria; Pseudomonadati; Pseudomonadota; Alphaproteobacteria. The record is from RNAcentral.